CCACCUUUGACAUGUAUGGAAGUUUCCAGAGAUGGAUUCGUGCUCGAAAGAGAGCCAUAACACAGGUGCUGCAUGGCUGUCGUCAGCUCGUGUCGUGAGAUGUUGGGUUAAGUCCCGCAACGAGCGCAACCCUUGUCAUUAGUUGCUACAUUCAGUUGGGCACUCUAAUGAGACUGCCGGUGACAAACCGGAGGAAGGUGGGGAUGACGUCAAGUCCUCAUGGCCCUUAUAGGUGGGGCUACACACGUCAUACAAUGGCCGGUACAAAGGGUCGCAAACCCGCGAGGGGGAGCCAAUCCAUCAAAGCCGGUCGUAGUCCGGAUCGCAGUCUGCAACUCGACUGCGUGAAGUCGGAAUCGCUAGUAAUCGUGGAUCAGCAUGUCACGGUGAAUACGUUCCC
This 400-nucleotide ribosomal RNA is filed under the name uncultured bacterium. Its description in RNAcentral is "bacterial SSU rRNA". It matches the Rfam family "Bacterial small subunit ribosomal RNA", at positions 975 to 1375 of the family's 1533-position model. The record is from RNAcentral.